CAAAAAGGUGAUUGAUUGAUCGUGGAAAUUGUCCUCGACUUGAUGGGACUGGAGUUUGCUGAAAUCCUAAGCCCACCGCUAGCAACCCAUGACAGAGAGGGAAACUAGAGACGCCAGUAGGAUUUCGGCGAUGUUGGGUAACCACGGAACUUCGGAAAAAUCACUGCACAUCCUGGGUCCGCUUGCCAACGCGUUGACUUUACCCAUGAAAGCGUUUUUAAACACCCAAAUAGGCUACUAACCUUUUGGAUACAAUGUACACAGCCCGAUCACGAAUAACUCCCGCAGCUCCUGCUGGCUCCCGAUGACACGGAUUUGCUUGUCUGAAGAUCAUCCUAUAGAAAAUGAUAAAUGUAUGUGAACGGGCCUGUGCUCCGUAGCGUCGUGGUGUUUCUGCUGUUGGGUGUCUCCUACAGUAAGCGCAGGUGCAACUACACGGAUAUACUCAGCACGUACAGAGAACUAAUCUUCGUUGAACUUCAGAAUUUGCUGCAGCACGUGUUGCGCUCCAUCCAUGGUAUGACGGAGCAAUUCCUGUGUCAGGGCUGGGAUCAGGAACACGGGCGGGGCAGCAGAGAGCAGUGGGCCAUGAAGAAGCCAGUGGAGAUGAUGGCAGUGCUGAUCAGACAGAACUGCAGGCACACUGACCUGGUGAGGAAACAGAAGAGAACAGCGCUGUGUGUGACUGCCCAGAGGACGAAGGGAAAGAACAGGAAGAGGAUGAGACUCAUCAGGGCACUGAUAAACUGUUGGCAGAAGCUGCAGAGUUUGUACACACCCACAAAAUAAUUUGAAAAAAAUAUGUUUUUAUUUUUUAUCAAAAUUGUUUCAAAAAAGCUUAUUUUGUAGAGUAGAAUGACAGUUUGUAUGUCAGGCAUAGGCCUCUGUUUAUGACCUUUUACUUCUUGUCUGUACAGUCCCACAUGUAUAAGCUAUAGGUCACCAUAGAUCAGGGAUGGGCCACUUUGAUGUGGGCGGGGGCCACAAAAAAAACGAACUGAUCAUGCUUACUAUAAGUUUAGAUAACUAGCCGCUAGACUAACUUGCCAAUCUAAAAAGGUUUACCUGACUUGGGCUAAUUAAGUGACUGCUGAUGCACAACCAACCACAUGUUGAAAUUGCACCUUGUGUAAUCUAUUAUUCUAACUCUCAACAGUAAAUUGAGACCCGACUGAGUUCCCCCCAUUAAUUAUGGUUGUUAGAGGAUGGUUUUACAAUGCAGUGAAGAUAUUUACUUGUAAUACCUUGGUGCACACACAUUUUAUAACUCUUAGCUAUCUCACAAUCCAGAUAUUGUUUUUGUGAAACCGAUAGAUACAGUUGUUGUUCUAUGAAAUGUAUUUAAGAUGCCCACUGAUAAAGGUUUCUUAAACUGCAUCAUUGGUUGUUUAUUCCUGUAAUGAUC
Molecule: long non-coding RNA, 1405 nt
Organism: Oncorhynchus tshawytscha (Chinook salmon)
Lineage: Eukaryota; Metazoa; Chordata; Actinopteri; Salmoniformes; Salmonidae
Source: Ensembl